ACAGCAUGUACAUAAAACGUUGAUGGACGUUUUUGAAUGUUUUUUUAGAGUCCUUUUAGAGGCUAUAUGAAAUGCAUCCAAAAAAUAUUUACGGGGCUAAAAUGUUUCCACAUUUUGUUAUGUUACAGUCUUAUUCCAAAUUUAAAUACAUUCAUUUUUUUCCUCAAAAUUCUACACACAUACUGAUGCUAUGAUUUUUUAUUUUUUUUGGAAAUGUUGAAAACUAAGAAAUCACACAAACCGUAUUUUUCAGACAAUAAGCCGCAGUUUUUUUCACAGUUUGGCCGGGGGUGCGACAUAUACUCCGCAGCGACUUAUGUGUCAAAUUAUUAACACAUUACCGUAAAGUAGCAUAUUUCGUAAAAUCUGCUGUUCACAAGGCGAGUUUUUUCAGGGAUGGAUAGGGAAGUCCUUUAACUACUGUUUUGUUUUAUCAUAUAUUGCUGCCUUUGCACCUGUCAAUGUUUACUUUUGGGUGCACAUUAAAUCAACAAAAAAAUCCUGACUUUGGAGCAAUGUUCACAGACUCUAAUAUUUGGCUCUCCAAUAGAUGCAAUGGUUUUUCUGUAUCCUGCGAUGAGGUGGCGACUUGUCCAGGGUGUACACCGCCUUCCGCUCGAUUGUAGCUGAGAUAGGCGCCAGCGCCCCCCGCAACCCCAAAAGGGAAUAAGCGGUAGAAAAUGGAUGAAUGGAUGGAUUAUUUAUGUAAUUCGCGGAAGAGACGUAGAAAAUGUCAGCAAUCGUCACAUACACGGCAACCAAUAAGAAUUCGGCAGAAGUGCGUUGUGGGUCAUGGAAUGCUAACUGCUAUAUGCCAAAUGCUACUGCCGUAGCUAUUAAAAUGAUUCCUUUCAUCUAAGCGGUAACUUGUAAAAACUGAGAAGGGCUGAACAAAAAUGGCACCGAAAAGGAAAUCAUGUACUGCAGAUUACAAGCUGGACAUAGUGAAAUAUGCAGCAGAAAACGACAAGAGGAAGCGGCGCAUACCUAUGGAGUUGGCAGAGUUGUUUAGAAGUGACAUCGAGGAAAAAGAUUUCAUCAGAUUUAUCGAUUAGGAGUGACAGAUUGUUUGGUAAACGUAUAACAUGUUCUAUAUGUUAUAGUUAUUUGAAUGACUCUUACCAUAAUAUGUUACCUUAACAUACCAGGCAUGUUCUCAGUUGGUUAUUUAUGCGUCAUAUAACGUACACUUCUGCGAUGAGAUAGCGACAUGUCCAGGGUGUACCAUGCCUUCUGCCCGAUUGUAGCUGAGAUAGGCACCAGCGCCCCCUGCGACGCCAAAGGGAAUAAGCGACAUUUCCAACAGUUAUAAUGUAAAACCAGAAAAAUGUGAUGUAAGCUGUUGUGUCACACACACACUCCGUGCUUCCCUCUGCUGCGGGAGCUCGCAGAAGCUCCGCUGGGAACACCAGACACGCCCCCGCACUCUUUAGGCAGACCGCGCCCACUCUCCGCCGCAGCCGGCGGCAAUCGACACCUGACACACCUGGCAUUGAUGAAGGAUGGCAGUAUAAGUACGGUUGACGCUGACUCAUCGACGCCGGAACGUAAAAUCUACUACCCCGCUCGUGUCACCACUGCUGUUUCCCUCCUGGACCCGUUUUGCCUUCCCGGAUCCUUGACCUAGCUUUGGACUUUCGGACCCUCUCUCCUGCCUUUGACCCCCGCUUGGACCUUGAACUUCCCCUGGCUUGAUCCCACUCGGAUUUGGACGCUGAAACAUCCAACACGCACCUCAACAAACCUCACGAUAUUCACAUAUGGUAAUUCCUCACAUAGUCAUUCCUUCAGACACAUAGUAGCAUACACACUCCACGUAUUCAUCAAGUAUUCAAUAAAUCUAUUGAACUUGACAUCCCGUUGCUGUGCCGUCUCCUUCCCCAGUAGAAACAUAAAAAAAAGCAUUGUAAUUGUAUACAUUUCCAAACACGUAACUAUAUUGUUGUUUUUCUUCUCAAUCCUAUUUUUGUUGUUCUUGUUGUUUUCUCCUCUUUUUUUUUUAGUUAUCAAACAUGUCUGAAAUAAAUAGCUACAAUAUAUACUGUAAA
Molecule: long non-coding RNA, 2048 nt
Organism: Nerophis ophidion (straightnose pipefish)
Lineage: Eukaryota; Metazoa; Chordata; Actinopteri; Syngnathiformes; Syngnathidae
Exons: 3
Source: RefSeq, a predicted model, not a curated record